UACUGUGCCGGGCUGCACUGUGUUGUCAGUCUGGGCAGCAGCAGUGUUCUGGGCUCAUCCACUCAUUGUAAUGUUGGUUUUCCAGAGUGGUGGCACUGCCCGGCACUUCCUCAAGAAGGCUCUCCUGCCCCUGACUGGCUGGUGUGACAGUGUUGGCAGUCUGCUGCUUCUUGAAGUCCGGUGUCCCAACCUCACUACAACGCUGACUACUGCCUUAAGUGUGGUAGUGGAGGAUAGAGGCCGAGCGGAGGCUACAGCGGACUAUUCCUGCGAGAAGGGGAGGAGGAUAGUCGGGAAUAGUCAGUGGAAGUGUGGUAGUAAUGGUAUCUGGAGUGGCAGUCAACCGCGCUGUGAAUAUGUGACCUGCGACCUACCACAAGGCUUGGAUAAUGGUAGAAUAGUCCGACUCAACCAGACCCUGGAAUACGGUAGCCUGGUCGAAUAUCACUGUCUACCGGAACACAGGCUGGUCGGGGGGAGCUUCCGGAGGUCAUGUGGCGAGCUGGGCGAGUGGUUGGGUGGAGAACCGAAGUGUGUGUUGGGUCCAGAGGAUGCCUACAACACCAUAGGCUCCGAUAGUAGUAGUAGUAGUAGUGUGAGUACUACUUCUACUUCUACCGCUAGCAACACCGGGCUCUACAUCGGACUAUUCUUCGGGCUCAUCCUGGCGAUAGUCUUCAUAGGAGUGCUAGUCUACUUCAGAAUGUUUUGGGCGCCCAGCCGUACACGUGAACUAACAGUCUUGGCUUCAGGGCAGGUCGCUAAAAUGGAGUGUCGAUGAUUUGAUUGAGGCAGUAUUCCUCGGCAAAGUGCAUGACAGCUUUUGCCUGGGUCCUCAUGUCUUCCGCUCCUCCAUACACACACUCCAAAUUCCAGUCUGUUAGCGGAAAGUUUAAGUCUCCAAGGCAGUGCCAGUGUUUGGAGUGCCACUGUGCCUGGCCGUCCAGCGCUGCCCGGCACACGAUGGCAUCCAGCUGCCCACCAUUGUCAGGGAGUGCAUUGACCAGAUAGAGGUACAUGCCGCCCAUUGGGUAGCAGCAGCAGCGGCAGCAGUGGAGAGCGGAGUCUGGAACAGCUGCAUAGUGUGGCAGAGAUUGAGGUGGAAAUGAUGAAGCAGGAAUCUCGAUUGGCACACCUCCAUACUCAGGUAACCGCCGGGCAGGUGUCUCGGAGCAAGGAGCAGCAGCUUUGGGAGUCUACAGCGGCACCCUACUCAACCCACCACCACCACCACCACCCAUAAUGUGACAGUUAUUAGCACGGAGGAAGUGCCAACUAGUGAGACUGACUGUGUUUCCGACACUGUGCCACUGUUGACGAGUGCAGUGCCGUGAGUGCCAGUGUUAGUGUGGCACCUCAGACGGAGGGUGAUUCGGCACUCCAGGGUGAUGUCAGAGUGCCAAGUGACGAGCCCAAAACCGAGGAGGAGAAGGAGGAGGAGGAAAAGAAGGAAGAGGAGGAGGAAAAAGCUAGUCAAGUGAUCAAACUGGAGGAAAAGGAAGAAAGAGGAGGAGGAGGAGGAGGAGGAGAGAGAAACACGGGAACAAAUAGAUGGAGAGAGGAGAGAAGAAGGAAAAAGGAGGAGGAGGAGGAGGAGGAAAAAUUCACCAACUUCACCACCAAACUUUCCACCAAUGAAAGAGGACCCCAAGAUACUGCCACACAAAUAGUGCCACAGGGGACAGCGGGGGUGGCACAGGGGGCCUCGGGGGUGCCGCAGGGGAGGGGAGAGCUGCCCCCGCCCCUCGACUCGGAGCCUUGACGACACUAGGCCUAAGGGUGCCUGAGGACGCCUUCCCAUGGACAGCAGCAGGCGACAUCCUCCUGAGGGGCUGCUGUGGCGUCCAUCCUCCUUUGUAUAA
Eriocheir sinensis (Chinese mitten crab) is the source of this 1862-nucleotide long non-coding RNA. RefSeq lists it as uncharacterized. The record is from RefSeq and is a predicted model, not a curated record. Lineage: Eukaryota; Metazoa; Arthropoda; Malacostraca; Decapoda; Varunidae. The transcript has 10 exons.